RNAcentral lists this ribosomal RNA (965 nucleotides) under uncultured Erwinia sp. RNAcentral describes it as "bacterial SSU rRNA". It matches the Rfam family "Bacterial small subunit ribosomal RNA", at positions 534 to 1501 of the family's 1533-position model. The record is from RNAcentral. Lineage: Bacteria; Pseudomonadati; Pseudomonadota; Gammaproteobacteria; Enterobacterales; Erwiniaceae.
GCAAACGGUAAUCGGAAUACUGGGCGUAAAGCGCACGCAGCCGGUUUGUCAAGUCAAAUGUGAAAUCCCCGGGCUUAACCUGGGAACUGCAUUUGGAACUGGCAGGCUAGAGUCUUGUAGAGGGGGGUAGAUUCCCAGGUGUAGCGGUGAAAUGCGUAGAGAUCUGGAGGAAUACCGGUGGGAAAGGCGGCCCCCUGGACAAAGACUGACGCUCAGGUGCGAAAGCGUGGGGAGCAAACAGGAUUAGAUACCCUGGUAGUCCACGCCGUAAACGAUGUCGACUUGGAGGUUGUGCCCUUGAGGCGUGGCUUCCGGAGCUAACGCGUUAAGUCGACCGCCUGGGGAGUACGGCCGCAAGGUUAAAACUCAAAUGAAUUGACGGGGGCCCGCACAAGCGGUGGAGCAUGUGGUUUAAUUCGAUGCAACGCGAAGAACCUUACCUGGCCUUGACAUCCACGGAAUUCGGCAGAGAUGCCUUAGUGCCUUCGGGAACCGUGAGACAGGUGCUGCAUGGCUGUCGUCAGCUCGUGUUGUGAAAUGUUGGGUUAAGUCCCGCAACGAGCGCAACCCUUAUCCCUUGUUGCCAGCGCGUGAUGGCGGGAACUCAAAGGAGACUGCCGGUGACAAACCGGAGGAAGGUGGGGAUGACGUCAAGUCAUCAUGGCCCUUACGGCCAGGGCUACACACGUGCUACAAUGGCGCAUACAAAGAGAAGCGACCUCGCGAGAGCAAGCGGACCUCAUAAGGUGCGUCGUAGUCCGGAUCGGAGUCUGCAACUCGACUCCGUGAAGUCGGAAUCGCUAGUAAUCGUAGAUCAGAACGCUACGGUGAAUACGUUCCCGGGCCUUGUACACACCGCCCGUCACACCAUGGGAGUGGGUUGCAAAAGAAGUAGGUAGCAACCUCCGGGAGGGCGCUUACCACUUUGUGAUUCAUGACUGGGGUGAAGUCGUAACAAGGUAACC